Non-coding RNA from Xyrichtys novacula (pearly razorfish), 236 nucleotides. The record is from the annotation of a GenBank genome assembly. Lineage: Eukaryota; Metazoa; Chordata; Actinopteri; Labriformes; Labridae.
CCGCACUGACUUUUUGGUAGACCGUAUUGAGAUACACGUGUGUGUCAAUUUUUGUGUCAAUUUUUACUCCCCAAAAGAGCGCCCACCCCCAUGGCAGGAGAAAAAAGUCAAUUUUUUCUUGUCGCCUAAGGUGAAAAUUCACAUUGUUGAGUGUGACACCUGUACGCUUUGUCAUAUUGACACAAAAUUUGACAAUCACGUGUAUCUCAAUAAGAUCUACGAAAAAGUCAAUGCGC